Molecule: long non-coding RNA, 1294 nt
Organism: Neopelma chrysocephalum (saffron-crested tyrant-manakin)
Lineage: Eukaryota; Metazoa; Chordata; Aves; Passeriformes; Pipridae
Exons: 3
Source: RefSeq, a predicted model, not a curated record
AGAGGGGUCGCUGGCAAAGGGCAGAGGUGGAGGUGUUCAGGGCAAGCAGCCUGGGAAACGGCUUCAGCUUGGGAUAGAAGCACUCUAUCAAAAUUACCCGGAUACAUCCUGCCUUUGAUGAGGAGAUUAUUGUCUCUGAAGGGCCCAAGGAGAGGCUGGGCCUGAGGAGAAGCCCCAUGCCCAGCACAACACAUGGGGAAACUGAGGCACAGAGCCACCACAGCAUCUACCCUGCUCUGAGCCAAAACUCCUCUCUUCCACUGGUGUUUCCUUGUCUAUGUGAAGCACCCAAAAGGAGGUCAGGCAGACCGGAGCAACCAGCCUGAGCAUGCAGAGGGAGCAGGAUCCUGGUUCUUGGCUGCAUCUCGUGCACAGACACCAGCGAGCAGGAUUUUCUGCCAACUCAAGCGAUGGAAGCAGCGAAUAACCCUGGCAUGCCCAGGCUCUGCACAGCCCAACUGUCGGCCAGCUGCCUGUUCCUGGGAGGAUGCAGUGCCAUAGGCAGAGAGCAUUUUCUUACUGUAAUCAAGAAAAGAAAUUGUGCCGAUCGGAGCAGCUGAAUGGCAGCCAAAUCUGCUUCUCGGCGGCUUUUCUACACUCUGUAUUCAUGUAUUUGGCAUGAGUAGCUCUGCAUUGAGGUAAUUCAUUAAUGCUCAACCAAAAAUGUGUUUAUGGGAGUCUUGAAAUAGUUGGUAGAAGUGUAAGACUUUCCUUCCUAAAAGCCUGGGCUCUCUCUGUGAUGGGAACCGGGUAUUAAAGCAUCGAGUGCUGCUGCAAUCAGCUGCCAGGGAAGCGACUCCAGGCAGCGUGUGUGCACUGCACGCUCCAGCACGCUCAGAUCCCCUUGUGCCGAAGCCUUUCCCUGGAUUUAGUCAGGCCAUAAGCACCGUGGGUGGGAUUUGCAACAGCUCGGCUCAUGCUUGGGAUGUGGGUGCUUCACCCCGGGUUUCACAGAGAGCAGGUUGGGGAGCAAACACGGGGUGAUGUGGCUGGAAGUGUGGCACCCUGAGCUGGUGGGACCAUCACCAGAGAGUCAGGGCUCUGCCAGGAGGGGCUGUGGCAGGGCAAAGGCAGGGGAAGGGAAAGCAAGACAGCCCUGGUGAGGACCAAGGACUCUAGCCAUCGCCCAGGAGGUUGUGGCAGCUGUGUCUGUGUAGAGCAAACAGCUUUUUCAGGUUAGCUGUGGGUUUCACUGCUUGCACAAUGGGUAUCGCUGUUGUCGUUCCAGUUAUAAUCCUGUAUAAACAAGGCUGACCUCUGGUUAUUGAAAAGAGCUGAAAAUAAAGACAACUUU